ACUGGAGGACCGAACCGACUAAUGUUGAAAAAUUAGCGGAUGACUUGUGGCUGGGGGUGAAAGGCCAAUCAAACCGGGAGAUAGCUGGUUCUCCCCGAAAGCUAUUUAGGUAGCGCCUCGUGAAUUCAUCUCCGGGGGUAGAGCACUGUUUCGGCAAGGGGGUCAUCCCGACUUACCAACCCGAUGCAAACUGCGAAUACCGGAGAAUGUUAUCACGGGAGACACACGGCGGGUGCUAACGUCCGUCGUGAAGAGGGAAACAACCCAGACCGCCAGCUAAGGUCCCAAAGUCAUGGUUAAGUGGGAAACGAUGUGGGAAGGCCCAGACAGCCAGGAUGUUGGCUUAGAAGCAGCCAUCAUUUAAAGAAAGCGUAAUAGCUCACUGGUCGAGUCGGCCUGCGCGGAAGAUGUAACGGGGCUAAACCAUGCACCGAAGCUGCGGCAGCGACGCUUAUGCGUUGUUGGGUAGGGGAGCGUUCUGUAAGCCUGUGAAGGUGUGCUGUGAGGCAUGCUGGAGGUAUCAGAAGUGCGAAUGCUGACAUAAGUAACGAUAAAGCGGGUGAAAAGCCCGCUCGCCGGAAGACCAAGGGUUCCUGUCCAACGUUAAUCGGGGCAGGGUGAGUCGACCCCUAAGGCGAGGCCGAAAGGCGUAGUCGAUGGGAAACAGGUUAAUAUUCCUGUACUUGGUGUUACUGCGAAGGGGGGACGGAGAAGGCUAUGUUGGCCGGGCGACGGUUGUCCCGGUUUAAGCGUGUAGGCUGGUUUUCCAGGCAAAUCCGGAAAAUCAAGGCUGAGGCGUGAUGACGAGGCACUACGGUGCUGAAGCAACAAAUGCCCUGCUUCCAGGAAAAGCCUCUAAGCAUCAGGUAACAUCAAAUCGUACCCCAAACCGACACAGGUGGUCAGGUAGAGAAUACCAAGGCGCUUGAGAGAACUCGGGUGAAGGAACUAGGCAAAAUGGUGCCGUAACUUCGGGAGAAGGCACGCUGAUAUGUAGGUGAAGUCCCUCGCGGAUGGAGCUGAAAUCAGUCGAAGAUACCAGCUGGCUGCAACUGUUUAUUAAAAACACAGCACUGUGCAAACACGAAAGUGGACGUAUACGGUGUGACGCCUGCCCGGUGCCGGAAGGUUAAUUGAUGGGGUCAGCGCAAGCGAAGCUCUUGAUCGAAGCCCCGGUAAACGGCGGCCGUAACUAUAACGGUCCUAAGGUAGCGAAAUUCCUUGUCGGGUAAGUUCCGACCUGCACGAAUGGCGUAAUGAUGGCCAGGCUGUCUCCACCCGAGACUCAGUGAAAUUGAACUCGCUGUGAAGAUGCAGUGUACCCGCGGCAAGACGGAAAGACCCCGUGAACCUUUACUAUAGCUUGACACUGAACAUUGAGCCUUGAUGUGUAGGAUAGGUGGGAGGCUUAGAAGUGUGGACGCCAGUCUGCAUGGAGCCGACCUUGAAAUACCACCCUUUAAUGUUUGAUGUUCUAACGUUGACCCGUAAUCCGGGUUGCGGACAGUGUCUGGUGGGUAGUUUGACUGGGGCGGUCUCCUCCUAAAGAGUAACGGAGGAGCACGAAGGUUGGCUAAUCCUGGUCGGACAUCAGGAGGUUAGUGCAAUGGCAUAAGCCAGCUUGACUGCGAGCGUGACGGCGCGAGCAGGUGCGAAAGCAGGUCAUAGUGAUCCGGUGGUUCUGAAUGGAAGGGCCAUCGCUCAACGGAUAAAAGGUACUCCGGGGAUAACAGGCUGAUACCGCCCAAGAGUUCAUAUCGACGGCGGUGUUUGGCACCUCGAUGUCGGCUCAUCACAUCCUGGGGCUGAAGUAGGUCCCAAGGGUAUGGCUGUUCGCCAUUUAAAGUGGUACGCGAGCUGGGUUUAGAACGUCGUGAGACAGUUCGGUCCCUAUCUGCCGUGGGCGCUGGAGAACUGAGGGGGGCUGCUCCUAGUACGAGAGGACCGGAGUGGACGCAUCACUGGUGUUCGGGUUGUCAUGCCAAUGGCACUGCCCGGUAGCUAAAUGCGGAAGAGAUAAGUGCUGAAAGCAUCUAAGCACGAAACUUGCC
This 2051-nucleotide ribosomal RNA is filed under the name Escherichia coli. Its description in RNAcentral is "partial 23S ribosomal RNA". It matches the Rfam family "Bacterial large subunit ribosomal RNA", at positions 765 to 2798 of the family's 2925-position model. Lineage: Bacteria; Pseudomonadati; Pseudomonadota; Gammaproteobacteria; Enterobacterales; Enterobacteriaceae. The record is from RNAcentral.